This is an RNA transcript of Canis lupus familiaris (dog), 3975 nucleotides long. It is a transcript of the gene named UDP-GlcNAc:betaGal beta-1,3-N-acetylglucosaminyltransferase 2, with no coding region annotated. NCBI's taxonomy places the organism in Eukaryota, Metazoa, Chordata, Mammalia, Carnivora, Canidae. The transcript has 3 exons. The record is from RefSeq and is a predicted model, not a curated record.
UCUUUCUUUCUCUCUUCCUCCCCCCUUCCCUCCCUUCUUGCCUUCCUGCCUUCCUUUUGGCUGGCACAGAAAAUAAUGAUGUACUCCACCAUUGAUUAUAUCUUACAGGCAGUGGUGUCUUAGAUUUAAAUGAAAUAUGGCAGUGUCUUUUUUUCUAAGAGUUUAUUUAUAUAUUUGAGAGAGAAAGAGCACAAGCUGGCAGAGGGGGGCAGAGAGGGAGGAAGAAACAGACUCCCUGCUAAGCAGGGAACCCAACUUGAGGUUCCAUCCCAGGAUCUGAGCCGAAGGCAGAUGCUUAACCGACUGAGCCACCCAGGCACCCAACAUGUGGCAGAGUCAGUAUUGAGGCUUUCUUGGAGCUCUGAAGGGUCAUGGAAGAUAAGAGGAAAACCUUGCAGACUGUAAAAUGCAACUGGUGAUCUGGGUUGUCAUUUCAACGUCACAUGAUUUGGAGUUGGAGAGACUGGCCCGAAGGCUGAGACCCUGCUAUAGACUGAGUGACGUCACCCCCACGCACCCACCCAGCCCUUCUCCACACAUGUCCAAAGGAAAAGAAAAGCACAGAACACAUCCUGAGUCUCCACGAAGUGAUUAAUGAGCUAAAAUUCACUUUUGAUUCGAGAAGGUCCUGACUUGCUAGCUCCUCAUUGGUCUCCACAUGGGGCACACCAUCUUGUCACUCUCCACCCGCGUUCCCUCCCAGACCCCCAGGACAACAAGACACCUAGGUCAAGAAAGAAAGAGACAGAGAAAAUACAUUCUAUUCUUCUCCAUCUGACUAAGGCUUGACACUGGGAGUGACCUCAUUGUCUUCAAGAAUCCUGGCCUCACCUUUACAGGUCUCAGCAGGACACCUCUAUCUUUGUAUGACUAGCGGGUGAUAGCACCAACUGUUGUGCAUGGAAUAAAUGGUCCUAUGUUGGUGGCAGGGAUAAUCUCCAUCUCCACAGAGCGUUGCUUGUACCUCUGUCCUGUGUGUCAUUAUGUUAACAAUAGGAAGGCAUAUAUGGGAGAACUCCUGUGGUUGAGCUGGAUCUUAGAGACCUCCAGAUGAGGAGCUAUUUGUCCUGGACAAAAGUUCCCUGAUUGAUCACUGUGUCCACAGCACAUUAUCAACCUCAGGGGGCCUUACUUUAGACAAAACACUGUCUACAGUGGUGCUAUGGAGUAUCUGUUCUCAGUAUUUGUUGCUUAUUUUGGUCAUGGUAUCAGUAGAGAUAAAUGCCUAUUGUUAAAAGGCCUAGAGCUACUAUUUGAGGAUAGUUGGCCCCAAAGCCCCAUGUGACAGAGAAAAAAGAUAAAAGAUGGCAAACGAGAUAAUUUCUCUCAUUCUAUCCACCCAGGCCAUAAAAUGUGAAUGCCAUUUUUUAGGUGGUAGGGAGCUGUGAACGUUUCUAUUAAACUUUGUGAGGAACCACCUGACCUUAUGUGGCAGAUUGUAUUUUCCAAAGGUGGCCCCACCAAUAUCUUCCAUCCCACAUGCUCUUCUGCAAUGUGACGUUGCUACUCUCUCAAGAGAUGGGUCUAAUGGGUCACCUAUCCUUGAAUCUGGCUGGACUUAGUGACUCCCAUGUAAGAUUGCCUGGUUUAGCAGAAAAACAAAACAAAACAAAACAAAACAAAAACAAAAACAAGAUGCCCAGUUAAAUUUUGAUUUCAGAUAAACAGUGAGUGAUUUUUUAAUGUAAGUAUGUCCCAUGUAGUGUUUGUAUUUUAUUUCACCCCUCUUCUCAUGUAACCAUAGAAUGUGACAGAAGGGUUGCACAUGACUUCUAAGGCUAGAUUAGAGGAAGCUUGAAGUGUCUGUCUUGGUCUCUUAGAACCCUUGCUCUAUUGAUGCUGCCUUUUGGGACACACCCUCUUGGUAAACAUGUACUGUGAGAAAACCGAACCUCAUGUAGAUUCUCCAAAGAUCCCAGCCCAGGUGCCAGGCAUGUGGGUAAAGGCACCACUACCAGAGCAGGCUUACCAACAGAAUUUUCUAUGGUGAUGGAUAUGUUCUAUAUCUGUAUUGUCCAAUACUGCAGCUGCUAUCCACAUACAUCUGUGUUCAAUCCACUAGCCAUAUGUGGCCAUAGAAUCUUAAAAUGUGGGCAGUGCCACUGAGUAACUAAAUUUUAAAUUUUAAUUAAUUAAUUUUAUUUUUUUAAAGACUUUAUUUGAGACAGAGAGAGAGAGAGAGAAAGAGAGAGAGAGAGCAUGAGCAGGGGGGGAGAGGGAGAAGUAGUCUCCCCAUGGAGUAAGGAGCCCAAUAUGGCUCGAUCCCAGGACCCUGGGAUCAUGACCUGAGUGAGCCAAAGGCAGACACUCAACUGACUGAGCUACCCAGGGGCCCCAUUUUUAGUUAAUUUAAAUGUACAUUUAAAUAGCUGCAUGUGGCCACUGUUUGGACACUAUAGUUGUAAAUGAUUUCAGUACCCAGCCCUUGGAGUCAAUCCUACUCAUUUGAGUCUUUCUAGUUGAGGCCUUAGGUAUCUAGGUGCAGAGCAAAGACCCCUCAACAGUGCUCUGUCCAAAUCCCAACCCACAGAAUCCAGAACAUUAACAAAAAGGGUGUUGUAUGUUGCCAAGUUUGGGGUUGUUUAUUAUGCAGCAGGAGAUAAUCAGAACAAAGUGUACCAAGAAAGACUAUCUAGAGGAGGGUUCCAAAUCCAAAGGCCCUAGGGCCAGGAAGCAAGUAAAUGAAAAGAACAGCCCAAGGUGAUUGUAGCCAAGACCCAUGAAAAGGGCAAGGAUCAGUCAUCUAGUUAAACAAUGUUCUUCAGUUUCUAGUGACCCAGAGAGGCCUCAGGCCUGGAGGGUAAAGAUUUCUGCUGACUCUACUUACGAGGCGUGACAUCUCAAGUCACUUUUAAUUUUGAGCCCCAAUUUCUUAACCUAUAAAGUAGGACUGAAAUGACCUGUCUACACAGGUUGGCUUAGCAUGUUGGAGGAUCCAAGGAGCUUGUGGAACGAGGGCACAUUGUUUGCUCCUCACACUGGAAUCCAUCCUCACAGACCUGCUCAGUCCUCUGCUCCGGAACAGCUUUGCAAACCCACUACAGCAGCUCAUGUUUCACUUACAGGAGCUCUGUGGUUUUAGGCACCAAAUCUUAUUAAACAAGAUGAAACUGUUAAAAGAAACCUCAUGGUUUUUCUGGGUAUCUGGUGGGGCUCUGUUUCUGUGGAGGCUUUUAGCUCUGAGUUGCACACUUUGCUGAAGCUGGUUUCCAGUGAUGAUCAUUGAAAUGGGCCUGGGGUGCAAGGCCCCAGGAGCCCUGAUGGACUGGCCUUGGGGCCUAGACAUCUGAGGGUGGGUCUCAGUGUUCUCUCAGAUGUCAAAGGAAUUGUUGUUUGGAACUAAAUUCUGGCCAACAAGGAGCAGUGAGCCUAUGUAUGAAAUCUAAGAGCACAUGGCAUGUGUAUAGUCAGUGUGCUCUAGAUUUCAGGAUGGGAGAUUUCAAGAAAGUUCAGGGAAAGGAUGGGCAUGAUCCCAUGUCCCGAGUGGAAAGAGUGGAGACUUUAGAAUGAGACAACAUGGGCUUGAAUCCAGGCUCUGCCAAUUAUAGGGUCAAUGAUCUCUGAGACUCAGUUAUCUUAUUUGUGAAAGGGGUGUGAUACCUCCCUCCCAGGGUGUUAUAAACAGUAAUUGGGAUACAACUAAAUAUUGACAUUUAGUCAAUAUUGAAAAGAAUAUCAGAAUAUUCAAUAGAUAAUAAGAUGUAUCACAUUCACAUCCAGUGAAUAAAUAUCCAUGAAUUAAUAGAUCUUUGAGAAAUACAGAUAUCGCCCAAAAGAGAAGCUGGCUUAGGAGGGUUGGGGGCUUUAGAAGAUGGCACAUGACAACUUCAGAGCAAGUUCUCUUGGCGCCGAAUGGCAGGGCAGGCAGCAAAAGUGGUUAGACAUCAAAGAGGUGGGGUUCCUGGGUGGCUCAGCGGUUAAGUGCCUGCCUGCCUUCAGCCCAGGGCAUGAUCCUGGAGACCCAGGAUCAAAUCC